CAGGAUGACAGUCUCCUCUGCUGAAGUCCAGGCUUCAUGGGAGACUGCCAAGGCUGUUUAUGUGGCAGCAGCACCAGCUCCUGUGAUGCAGAGCAUGUGCAACACAGGUGCAGCCUUCGGUGGUGCAGCUGCAAUACCUGCAACCUUAGAUGGAGCAGCUGGUACAGUCGGACCUGCAUCCGCUGAGGCAGCUGCUAAAGAACCCACUGAGGUGGAGCCAUAUCAGCUCCUAAACUUUCUAGAAUGUGAAAUGAUGCAUUUCUACGACGGUUGAUGUCAAGGUGACGUGGAAAGCCUGGGGUGACAACAUAGUGAACCAGGACAUAAGGUCAAGCGUUGCUGUGAAGAACCUGGCCAUUGCUCUGUGGGGGUCCAGUGUCCUGCAGAGGACUGUGGCCGAAAUGGCGUCGAAUGUCAGUCUUAACAAGGACAGCAGGCUGCCUCUGACACCCAAGAAAGCGGCAUUCCUGAGAGGCGAGUGCAAAUUAUCUCACGUAAGCGUAACCUAAGCAGUUAUUUGAAAAAUCUUCUCAAUCAAGGCAGUAUCUUGGCAGCUAGUUGGUAUUAUACUGGGAGUUCACAAUGUUUCGGUGAUCUUUGGAUGGACCGCAUAAAACUGAUAGGAUUGAGCACACAGCUGUGACAUAAUGGUGGAAGCUUUCAGUAAAA
This 669-nucleotide long non-coding RNA is filed under the name Ixodes scapularis (black-legged tick). Its description in RNAcentral is "uncharacterized LOC121837550". The record is from RNAcentral. Lineage: Eukaryota; Metazoa; Arthropoda; Arachnida; Ixodida; Ixodidae.